This 75-nucleotide transfer RNA is filed under the name [Bacillus] caldolyticus. Its description in RNAcentral is "tRNA-Gln". It matches the Rfam family "tRNA". Rfam says of the family: Transfer RNA (tRNA) molecules are approximately 80 nucleotides in length. Their secondary structure includes four short double-helical elements and three loops (D, anti-codon, and T loops). RNAcentral also lists the same sequence under 128 other names. Lineage: Bacteria; Bacillati; Bacillota; Bacilli; Caryophanales; Anoxybacillaceae. The record is from RNAcentral.
UGGGGUAUAGCCAAGCGGUAAGGCAACGGACUUUGACUCCGUGAUGCGUUGGUUCGAAUCCAGCUACCCCAGCCA